Cyanistes caeruleus (blue tit) is the source of this 1318-nucleotide long non-coding RNA. RefSeq lists it as uncharacterized. The record is from RefSeq and is a predicted model, not a curated record. NCBI's taxonomy places the organism in Eukaryota, Metazoa, Chordata, Aves, Passeriformes, Paridae.
CUCCCUGGGAGUCACAGGUGUGCUUCAUGGCUGCAUUCCCAUGAAGAAAAUGAGUGGUUUUGCUGUAGUGAGCCUUUUCCUAAUGAAAGUCAGCCCUGCCCUCUGACUUCAUAUUUCAUUACGUGGUCUUAAUUUUUUUUUGCUCAGUCUUUAAAGUAAUGAACUUCUCUUUUUUGCAGAUCUCUGUCAUCUCCUGCUGGUGCUCCCUGGAGAAUAGAUGGUCAAAAAGUGAACUGGUUUUCUGGUUGCAAAUCACAUCCAAUUCUUGAGUCCAUGGACUGCCCACACAGCCUUUGCUGUUGCUUCAAACAAGCAGCUCUAAAUUGUCGAUAAAUGCAGUAAACAACAGGCUGCUUUCUCUCAGAAGAAGUUAUAUGAAGUUGUCAUCCAUUUGACGGGAAGAAAGCUAAUUUCUCAGUUACAGACCUGCAGUAGUGGAAAAGUGAACUGCAGUUUGGUCUUUUCACUCUCAUGGCAGAGUAAGAAGGAAUGAGAGCUCCUUCCCUAGGCCCUGUAUCUCCUCCAAGCCCACAGACUGGCUCUGCACAUGGGAAAAUGUGCAAGUGCUGUCUCCUCCACUUCCAAAGCAGAAGAAUUAACUCAGCUGAGGAUGUCCAGGAAAAAGGACCCAUCUACCACCAGAUCCUGAGGUAGCUGAGUUAUAACAGGUCAUUGCCAGAGGAGGAAGGUCCCUGGAGUAGAAAAUGCAGGAGAAGGAAAAAUAAAAUAAGAAAAAAAGUGUUUAAAGGGGAGACUUUGCAGACAGAAGCAACCUGUGUGCAAGGCCCUGCCUAUGAAUGGGGAUUACUUCUGCUUCCUAAAAGUUUUCUAGGUGUCAGACAAUCCUGGAUCCAAGAAUCUCCAAUCACGUUUCUCUGAAACUCUGGUUUCCCUGAAACUUUUAGUUACACUGUGAAGUUACUGGAUACAUGUUCUGUUCAAGUAACUGUACAUAAACUUGACAUGGAGAUAAGCUGAGACCUCAUGGCAGAAAUCUCAUUUGAAACAACUGGAAAUUACUUCAGCUUGGCUCAAGCCACAGCACAACAGAUACCUUCUCCUCCUCCAGCCCUGCUGUGAGUCAAAGGCAUUUUCUGGGCUGCCACUUUCCUGUGCUGAAUGACCUUGAGCCUCUUCAUGUUGCCCCGUCUUUGCUUGGCUCAGCAUGUGCAUCCCUUGCUCUUUAUAAAUACGCCUGCGUGCUCGCCUUUGCUGACUUCCUUCUUCUCCACAGCUGAAGGUAUUGGCUCUUUGUCAGGCUUUGAGACUCACAUGUUUUAGUUCAUAAAUGCCUAUAGCAAUUCUCCAUGCUUUUGAU